Molecule: transfer RNA, 74 nt
Filed under: Aquimarina brevivitae
Lineage: Bacteria; Pseudomonadati; Bacteroidota; Flavobacteriia; Flavobacteriales; Flavobacteriaceae
Rfam family: tRNA
About the family: Transfer RNA (tRNA) molecules are approximately 80 nucleotides in length. Their secondary structure includes four short double-helical elements and three loops (D, anti-codon, and T loops). Further hydrogen bonds mediate the characteristic L-shaped molecular structure. tRNAs have two regions of fundamental functional importance: the anti-codon, which is responsible for specific mRNA codon recognition, and the 3' end, to which the tRNAs corresponding amino acid is attached (by aminoacyl-tRNA synthetases). tRNAs cope with the degeneracy of the genetic code in two manners: having more than one tRNA (with a specific anti-codon) for a particular amino acid; and 'wobble' base-pairing, i.e. permitting non-standard base-pairing at the 3rd anti-codon position.
Source: Rfam by way of RNAcentral
GCAGGGGUGACGGAACUGGUAUACGUGCCUGAUUUAGAAUGAGGAUUUUGAGAGUUCGAAUCUCUCUCCCUGUA